GUGGGGAAUCUUAGACAAUGGGCGCAAGCCUGAUCUAGCCAUGCCGCGUGAGUGAUGAAGGCCCUAGGGUUGUAAAGCUCUUUCAGCUGGGAAGAUAAUGACGGUACCAGCAGAAGAAGCCCCGGCUAACUCCGUGCCAGCAGCCGCGGUAAUACGGAGGGGGCUAGCGUUGUUCGGAAUUACUGGGCGUAAAGCGCGCGUAGGCGGACUGAAAAGUUGGGGGUGAAAUCCCGGGGCUCAACCUCGGAACUGCCUUCAAAACUAUCAGUCUGGAGUUCGAGGGAGGUGAGUGGAAUUCCGAGUGUAGAGGUGAAAUUCGUAGAUAUUCGGAGGAACACCAGUGGCGAAGGCGGCUCACUGGCUCGAUACUGACGCUGAGGUGCGAAAGCGUGGGGAGCAAACAGGAUUAGAUACCCGUGUAGUCC
RNAcentral lists this ribosomal RNA (425 nucleotides) under uncultured bacterium. Its description in RNAcentral is "partial 16S ribosomal RNA". It matches the Rfam family "Bacterial small subunit ribosomal RNA", at positions 354 to 796 of the family's 1533-position model. The record is from RNAcentral.